AUUCCAGCUCCAAUAGCGUAUAUUAGAGUUGUUGCAGUUAAAAAGCUCGUAGUCGGAUUUCUGUUGGGAGCAGCCGGUCCGGCGUUUAUUCGUUGUGCACUGGUGAAUCCCAGCAUUUUCCCGGCAGCGUUUCCCCCACUUUAUUGUGCGGGGUUGCGUCCAACCGGGACUUUUACUUUGAGAAAAAUAGAGUGUUUCAAGCAGGCUUGUCGCCUUGAAUACUGCAGCAUGGAAUAAUAAGAUAGGACUUUGGUUCUAUUUUGUUGGUUAUCUAGGACUAAAGUAAUGAUUAAUAGGGACAGUUGGGGGCAUUCGUAUUUAACUGUCAGAGGUGAAAUUCUUAGAUUUGUUAAAGACGAACUACUGCGAAAGCAUUUGCCAAGGAUGUUUUCAUUG
Molecule: ribosomal RNA, 396 nt
Filed under: Goussia sp.
Lineage: Eukaryota; Apicomplexa; Conoidasida; Eucoccidiorida; Eimeriidae
Description: partial small subunit ribosomal RNA
Rfam family: Eukaryotic small subunit ribosomal RNA
Source: RNAcentral